CCAGAUCCAGUAGCUAUCACACGGUCACCUACAGGUUGCUCUGAAGGUUUGCUGCUUGGGCCGUCUCGACGCUCCUCAUGUUUCUGCUUCCCUGCAGCCAUAUUCCGCUUGGCAGGAGCCAGAGAGCUGACUGCUUUGAAAGCUCGCAGCACCCUUGUGACUGUGCCCACAGGACGCCUGUCAUCCAAGCCGCUGCCACUGCUCUCAGGCAAUGCAAUGUUCUUUUGUGCGGCCAGCGCCGCCGACGCCGCAUGCUGCAGGAUGGACUCUCCGUCCACAGCUGCAGCCUCUGCCUUCCUCAACAGCUGCGCCGAAUUGCAGGAGACACCUUAUGAUCUGCAGGAUCCUUUUAAUUGACUUUCAGGACUCCAGUGGCGGCCACAGCAACUGGGAGACUAGGAACCAUGUACUUUUCCUGCAUUACAAGGAUUCGGCACAAGCAUCUUCACCUCCGUCUCAUCCUCAUCAUUGACUGGUGGCCUGCCAUGGCCAAUUCGUUGAAGAGGUGCCUUGUGCUGCUGGGGCUGCAGCUUGCGAUUAAUUCCUUGUGCCUUAAACUUUGCCGUUCGGGGAGUCGUUUUGAAGAGCUGGACCUUGCUGCUGCAGCACAUUGAACAGAAUAUUGACACUGGGACAGAGCAGAACAAGCAUCCAUUGACAAGGCAAUAGCGCUGAAAUGCACACCUGUCUUCAUCCUCGGCGGGAGUGGGAGUGUUCUGCAGGACAGC
This 728-nucleotide long non-coding RNA is filed under the name Coccomyxa subellipsoidea. Its description in RNAcentral is "long non-coding RNA (CSUB_LNC000452)". Lineage: Eukaryota; Viridiplantae; Chlorophyta; Trebouxiophyceae; Coccomyxaceae. The record is from RNAcentral.